Melospiza melodia melodia is the source of this 1538-nucleotide long non-coding RNA. RefSeq lists it as uncharacterized. NCBI's taxonomy places the organism in Eukaryota, Metazoa, Chordata, Aves, Passeriformes, Passerellidae. The record is from RefSeq and is a predicted model, not a curated record. The transcript is spliced from 2 exons.
CUGAGGCAUCUGUGGCCCUGGAUAAGGCCGUGCCAGAGCAGGUACAUCUCAGCAUCUGUGGCCAUGGUGUCUGUGCCACAGCAGCUGGACUCCGAAGGGAUUGUGGCCCAAGGGAAUUACUGCAGCAGGAAUCACCCAAACCAGUGGAGGACAAGCCUUACAGGAAGCAGUGCAAGUGCAGCAGUGACCUGACGUGACCUGCCUUGGUGCCCGGUGACUCCACGCAGCACACCACAUCUCCUGUCCUGACCAAAGCCAGGGACUAAACAAUCUCAAAGGACAUUUUGUGGAUGUCUGUGGAUGCUUGACAGACAUUUCACAGGACUGAUCCAUAGACUAAGGAAAUGAUCCUGUGUGUUAUAUCAAAGGAUGGUGACAGUGGUGGUGGGUAAUGAGGAUGUACUGGAGAGUGUGGGACCUGAGCAUGAUGUAAAUUGUAUGGAAUCAGGAAUGGAGAAUAUGCUGGUUUUGGCUGGGAGGAGCUAGGAUUCAUCAUAGGAGCUAGUGUGGAGCUAUAGUUUGGUUUUGUGUGGAGAACAGCGUUAGUAACACAGGGAUGUGUUUGUUACAGCUGAUCAGGGCUGAUGCAGAGUCAGGGCCCUUUCUGCCUCUCACCCCACCAGAGACAGGGCUGGAAGGGGACACAGCUGGGACAGCUGAUCCCAAAGGGAUAUCCCAGACCAUAUGGCAUCAUGCUCAGCAUAUAAAGCUGGGGGAAGAAGAAGGAAUGUUUGGAAUUAUGUGGUUUGUCCUCCCAAGUCACCAUUACAUGUGACUGAGCCCUGCUAUCAUGGGGAUGGCUGAACACCUGCCUGCCCAUGGGUGGUGACGAAUGGAUUCCCUGUUGUACUUUGCUGGUGUGCAUGGCUUUUGCUUUACCUGUUAGACUGUCUUGAUAUCAACCUAUAAACCUCACUUCUCCAAAUCUCUCCCCCAUCCCAGUCAGGGGGGAGUGAGCAAGUGACUGUGGUGGAAGGAAAGAGAAAUACUCUUCAAUAACAUGCCUGGAAACUGUCCAGAGAGCACCCAGACAAAACCUCCCAGCAGCAGGGGAGUAAAUGCAGUGCCUUAGAGAUGCCUCUCCCUAAUUCUUAGGGAAUAAAUCAAUGCCUGGGAGGCAGCUUCCUGUGGUUCAGCUGCAAAAAGAACCCCACAAGGCUAUUUGGGAAUUACCACCCGUGAUUUUUUGUAGCUACAAAUCUCAAUACAAAGAAUUUUAAGUAUUAUUUAUUCCUUGCAGGGAGAAAUAGCAGCUUGCUGGCUGGAGGCAUACUUGUUUAUUUAAUAUGUGCCGUUUGCAAAACCUCUCGUUAAGCAUCCUGAGCACAUUACUAACAGGUCACAUCUUACAGAUGAUGCAUUAUUUGUCACUUUUCUCCUCUCUUUAAGGGUUGUAUUUUUUAACUUCCUGGUGAAUUUUCUGCUGGACUAAACCUGAAAUAAGUUAGAAAUUCAAGGAAAUCAGCCCAAUUCCAACCUUUGCUAUUCAGUGUUACUUCAGAUGUUUGAAAUUAAAUGGAGAAUGGUUGCUGGAGGGA